CGGGGGGCCUACCAUGCAAGUCGAGCGAGCUCUUCGGAGCUAGCGGCGGACGGGUUAGUAACGCGUGGGAACGUGCCCUUCACUGCGGAAUAGCCACUGGAAACGGUGAGUAAUACCGCAUACGCCCUUCGGGGGAAAGAUUUAUCGGUGAAGGAUCGGCCCGCGUUAGAUUAGAUAGUUGGUGGGGUAACGGCCUACCAAGUCUACGAUCUAUAGCUGGUUUUAGAGGAUGAUCAGCAACACUGGGACUGAGACACGGCCCAGACUCCUACGGGAGGCAGCAGUGGGGAAUCUUGGACAAUGGGCGCAAGCCUGAUCCAGCCAUGCCGCGUGAGUGAUGAAGGCCUUAGGGUCGUAAAGCUCUUUCGCCAGAGAUGAUAAUGACAGUAUCUGGUAAAGAAACCCCGGCUAACUCCGUGCCAGCAGCCGCGGUAAUACGGAGGGGGUUAGCGUUGUUCGGAAUUACUGGGCGUAAAGCGCACGUAGGCGGAUCAGAAAGUUGGGGGUGAAAUCCCGGGGCUCAACCCCGGAACUGCCUCCAAAACUCCUGGUCUUGAGUUCGAGAGAGGUGAGUGGAAUUCCGAGUGUAGAGGUGAAAUUCGUAGAUAUUCGGAGGAACACCAGUGGCGAAGGCGGCUCACUGGCUCGAUACUGACGCUGAGGUGCGAAAGUGUGGGGAGCAAACAGGAUUAGAUACCCUGGUAG
This 705-nucleotide ribosomal RNA is filed under the name Marinovum sp. Its description in RNAcentral is "bacterial SSU rRNA". It matches the Rfam family "Bacterial small subunit ribosomal RNA", at positions 40 to 793 of the family's 1533-position model. Lineage: Bacteria; Pseudomonadati; Pseudomonadota; Alphaproteobacteria; Rhodobacterales; Roseobacteraceae. The record is from RNAcentral.